UAUAAAUUUUAUCGAGAUCUGAUAACUACUUUUUGAGUAAUCUUUGAUAACGCGUAGUCGCUUGACUAUUUUUUCGUCGAUCUACGUUGUAUUACUUGUCGAUGUAAUUGAAGUCGGUUUUUUUUUUCGUUUGCGAGCAAACACAAUUAUUUUAUUCAGAUAUGCCCAUAUCUCAUAAAAUUAGAAAUCUUUAUCUCUUUCAUACUUUUAUAGGUCAGAUAAAUUUAACAGCAACCAAGUGACUGACACAGGCGCUAAGGAAGGACUUGAAAUUAACAGAAAAAAAUUAAUGUGAAUUUGAUCUUUAAAAGAUAAAUUCUGAAUUGUUGUAACAUAAGUGUUAUGUUAUGCAUAUAUAAUUGGUCAGUUUUAUUUUAGACUUACAGGAGAAGCGAGGUCACAGAAAGAAAACUGUAUUUAACUUGCCCUUAACUAAAUACCCACCCUUAAAGUCGUAACUCUCUAUUGCACAGCUUAAAUCGUUGAACGUAAAAAUUAAUGAAGAAAUCACGGACAGCUGUGAAGCAUUUCUAGGCUGCUAUAUUCAAUUCCUAUAGCGAUCAUCCUAAUAGGGAAUAAUAGUAUACCUUAAAAGCUGGUUAACACAUUAGGUACAUAACUCAAAAAAAAAAUUGGUAAAAUAUAACUUAUUUAUAAAAUUAUCGGUAAAGCUUUAGAUUAGGUAAAACCGAAUUUCGGGACCGUGGGGGGAUGGGGAGGGAGAGGGUGGGGAACGCUACCCCUGGUACCACUGUCACACCUCGGAACCCCAUGGUUAUGGAGA
RNAcentral lists this unclassified non-coding RNA (784 nucleotides) under Melitaea cinxia (Glanville fritillary). RNAcentral describes it as "misc RNA ENSMCXG00005002291.1". Lineage: Eukaryota; Metazoa; Arthropoda; Insecta; Lepidoptera; Nymphalidae. The record is from RNAcentral.